This 45-nucleotide non-coding RNA is filed under the name Schistosoma mansoni. The record is from RNAcentral. Lineage: Eukaryota; Metazoa; Platyhelminthes; Trematoda; Strigeidida; Schistosomatidae.
AUCCAGCCGAUGAGUCGCAAAUAGGAUGAAACGGACGUCCUGAAU